This 253-nucleotide ribosomal RNA is filed under the name uncultured bacterium. RNAcentral describes it as "partial 16S ribosomal RNA". It matches the Rfam family "Bacterial small subunit ribosomal RNA", at positions 524 to 776 of the family's 1533-position model. The record is from RNAcentral.
UACGAAGGGGGCUAGCGUUGCUCGGAUUUACUGGGCGUAAAGGGCGCGUAGGCGGUUUGUACAGUCAGGCGUGAAAUUCCUGGGCUCAACCUGGGGGCUGCGUUUGAUACGUGCAGACUUGAGUUCGGAAGAGGGUCGUGGAAUUCCCAGUGUAGAGGUGAAAUUCGUAGAUAUUGGGAAGAACACCGGUGGCGAAGGCGGCGACCUGGUCCGAUACUGACGCUGAGGCGCGAAAGCGUGGGGAGCAAACAGG